AGUCUUUCAUCGCUCGCUGUCCCUUGACUCUCUAGACUAAGCCCCGCUACUGUCUACAAAAUCAAAAACAGGAUGGGUUUCAGCAGGCUCGCUUGAUAUGACCGAACCAAUCCUCAUCAUCUCGUCGCCGGUCUUCCGUUUGUCCUCCGCAUACCGAUGCAAGGUGCUGUAGUAGUGGUCUUUGGUGCUGAACUUGUAGAGGGAGGAGAUCUUCUCCCAGUCCUUGUUGGAAGGGGUGAUGAUGUUUUUAGGCGGUGUCU
This is a long non-coding RNA of Sebastes umbrosus (honeycomb rockfish), 260 nucleotides long. RefSeq lists it as uncharacterized. Lineage: Eukaryota; Metazoa; Chordata; Actinopteri; Perciformes; Sebastidae. The transcript has 3 exons. The record is from RefSeq and is a predicted model, not a curated record.